GGGGCCGCAGAGGAAAGCGGGCAGGCUCUGGUUGCGGUGCUCCAGGCAAGCCCGAGCACUUCCUUUGUGAGCACUGACAAAGAGAGAUGCACAAGUCAACUGCUGUCUUCCAGGAGGCCCCCAGGACCCUGGGGGUGGUGGCGGGGUCCGCAGUCAGCACCCGUCAUCUCCAUCUUUUGCGCAGAGUUAAGUGUUCACGAUUUGCGCACUUUCCCCCUUCACCAGCCAGCGGUCAGUCACUCUUUCAAGUUCCCAUCCCUGUUUUUCCAGUGAAAACCCAGGUCUGGGAGCAUCAGGAGCCUUCCAGGACCACCGUCCAAGGACAGGCAAUCCUGUCCGAAUUUCCAUCCAGUCCGUCGUGUCCCGGGAGGCCGCUUGGUUUCCGGUGGCUUCGCCUGAUUCCUUCCUGCUUCAGAGCAGGAAUCGCUUCAAAGAAGGGGAAGAUCAUUUGAAGUUUCAGAAAUGUCCAAUUGGCCAAUUAUCACAGGAGAAAAAAACGCCGACCUGGAGUCAGUCGUGGACGUGGCCGUCCCAGCUUUGCUACCGACCGUGUGACCAUAGACGGGCGUCUUGUCUCCAAGCCUCACUUCCCACCUGUGGGACAGCGCAGCGGCGACACUCAGAGGCCCCUUCCAGCUUCCAGUGUUCCCAUCUCCAGACCUGACCAGCAGAAAAUGGGCCAUUUUCCUUUACUUUGGAGACACACAGAACGGAGCAGAGAUGCACACGGAAAGAGCCUUUGGGGAAGGUCACCCUUGACCUAACCUUCUAGGUUCGGCGAAACCGUCUCAACUGGAAUGCCAGGUAAAUGAUUAAAACGUGAGGGGGCAUUGUUCUGGCUUUUUUCAUGAUCCGGUCAUUUAAUCCCAACACCGCUGUGUGAAAUGUAUUCCUGUUUGCAUGGGGGAGGCCCAUAGGUUUUUAAUUCUUCUGUGGGAAACAAAGGCCCUCAUUCACUAAACAGUAACUCAAGACGGUCGUUUCUGCUCUUACCAG
Molecule: long non-coding RNA, 996 nt
Filed under: Felis catus (domestic cat)
Lineage: Eukaryota; Metazoa; Chordata; Mammalia; Carnivora; Felidae
Description: lncRNA (ENSFCAG00000044218.2)
Source: RNAcentral